RNAcentral lists this ribosomal RNA (942 nucleotides) under Triticum aestivum (bread wheat). RNAcentral's name for it is "partial small subunit ribosomal RNA". The record is from RNAcentral. Lineage: Eukaryota; Viridiplantae; Streptophyta; Magnoliopsida; Poales; Poaceae.
AUGAGGGCUCCCAUGGCCGUCAGGCUCGCGGCCAUUCUCCUCCUCCUCCACCUCACGCGCUUCCAUGCCAUGGCCGCUGCGGCGGGUGAGCGGCGGGCUGGGACGAUCGUCUGGCAGCAGCAUCGGCGGCAAGUGCUGCUGCAGGAGAAGGCCACGCUCCUGGCGUUGAAACGCUCGCUCACCCUGCCGUCGCCGUCGGCUCUGGCCGACUGGAACGAGUCCAAUGGCGAUGUCUGCGGCCUCACCGGCGUCGCCUGCGACUGGAGGCGGCAGCACGUCAUCGGCCUCUCCCUAGGCGACAAGAACAUCUCUGGCCCCGUGCCGCCGGUCAUCGGUAACCUCACGCGCCUCAAAAGCCUCGACAUGUCUCGCAAUUUCCUCGCAGGGCAGAUCCCGGCCGAACUCUCCAACCUCCGCGGCCUCGAAGUCCUCGACCUCGGCCACAACCAGCUCAGCGGCGGCAUACCGCCGUCCCUCUCUGAGCUGGCGAACAUGUACUACCUCAGCCUCAAGGAUAAUCAGCUCUCAGGCCCUAUCCCGGCCGUUCUCUUCAAGAACUGCACCAGUCUAGGUCUGGUCGACUUCGGCAAUAAUGAUCUAUCCGGCGAGAUUCCCCUGGAAGCCUCGGAGAACAUUCUUGUGCUCAACCUCUACUCCAACAUGCUAACCGGAAAACUCCCAUGGUGGCUCGCUAACUGCACGUAUCUAUACUUGCUGGAUGUGGAGGACAACUCGCUCACCGACGAGCUCCCCUCCGGCAUCAUAGCGGGCAAGCGGCAGCUCAAGUACCUGCAUUUGUCCAACAACUACCGGUUCUCGAGCCACGACGGCAACACCAACCUGGAGCCCUUCUUCGCCGCAGUAUCGAACUGCUCCCAAAUACUGGGGAUCGAGGCCGGCGCGGUGGGGAUGGGCGGUCGGCUGCCAAGUGUAGGGCAAUAA